GACGAACCGUACGAACGUUAUUCGGAAUCACUGGGCGUAAAGGGUGCGUAGGCGGGUUAUUAAGUCAGAGGUGAAAUCCUGGAGCUCAACUCCAGAACUGCCUUUGAUACUGAUAGUCUUGAGUAUGGGAGAGGUGAGUGGAACUGCGAGUGUAGAGGUGAAAUUCGUAGAUAUUCGCAAGAACACCAGUGGCGAAGGCGGCUCACUGGCCCAUAACUGACGCUGAGGCACGAAAGCGUGGGGAGCAAACAGG
Molecule: ribosomal RNA, 253 nt
Filed under: uncultured bacterium
Lineage: Bacteria
Description: partial 16S ribosomal RNA
Rfam family: Bacterial small subunit ribosomal RNA
Source: RNAcentral